ACUCCUACGGGAGGCAGCAGUGGGGAAUUUCGGACAAUGGGCGCAAGCCUGAUCCAGCAAUGCCGCGUGCAGGAUGAAGGCCUUCGGGUUGUAAACUGCUCUUGUACGGAACGAAACGGUCCUUUCUAAUACAGAGGGCUAAUGACGGUACCGUAAGAAUAAGCACCGGCUAACUACGUGCCAGCAGCCGCGGUAAUACGUAGGGUGCGAGCGUUAAUCGGAAUUACUGGGCGUAAAGCGUGCGCAGGCGGUGAUGUAAGACAGAUGUGAAAUCCCCGGGCUCAACCUGGGACCUGCAUUUGUGACUGCAUCGCUGGAGUGCGGCAGAGGGGGAUGGAAUUCCGCGUGUAGCAGUGAAAUGCGUAGAUAUGCGGAGGAACACCGAUGGCGAAGGCAAUCCCCUGGGCCUGCACUGACGCUCAUGCACGAAAGCGUGGGGAGCAAACAGGAUUAGAUACCCUG
This 462-nucleotide ribosomal RNA is filed under the name uncultured bacterium. RNAcentral describes it as "bacterial SSU rRNA". It matches the Rfam family "Bacterial small subunit ribosomal RNA", at positions 335 to 789 of the family's 1533-position model. The record is from RNAcentral.